Long non-coding RNA from Carassius auratus (goldfish), 245 nucleotides. RefSeq lists it as uncharacterized. NCBI's taxonomy places the organism in Eukaryota, Metazoa, Chordata, Actinopteri, Cypriniformes, Cyprinidae. The record is from RefSeq and is a predicted model, not a curated record. The transcript is spliced from 3 exons.
CUCGCUACAGUCUCUUCAACAUGGCCGAUCAAGAGGAGUAAAGACAGGACAGUGAGGCAGCAAAUGACAGACUAAUCCACUUUCUGAAGCUUGGAUUACCCCAGGAAAACAUCAGUAACAUUUUAGGUGUCACUCAUACAACUAUCAUUCGUUGGAUGAGAGAAUGUGUUUGGCCAGAGACAGAAUCCAAUAAUUAACCCUGAGAUGGAAUAUUCAGACUCAAUGGCAGUUGAACAAGAUGGUGG